Molecule: ribosomal RNA, 119 nt
Filed under: Helianthus annuus (common sunflower)
Lineage: Eukaryota; Viridiplantae; Streptophyta; Magnoliopsida; Asterales; Asteraceae
Source: RNAcentral
GGUUGCGAUCAUACCAGCACUAAUGCACCGGAUCCCAUCAGAACUCCGCAGUUAAGCGUGCUUGCGCGAGAGUAGUACUAGGAUGGGUGACCCCCUGGGAAGUCCUCGUGUUGCAACCC